Neodiprion virginianus is the source of this 5507-nucleotide long non-coding RNA. RefSeq lists it as uncharacterized. Lineage: Eukaryota; Metazoa; Arthropoda; Insecta; Hymenoptera; Diprionidae. The record is from RefSeq and is a predicted model, not a curated record. The transcript has 2 exons.
ACCAAUCGUUUAUUAGUUUCAAUUCAAACGUUACGCACUACAUAAGCUCUACCAUUUGAACAACUGUAUAAUAAUCGGAUCCAACAAGUGUUUCCUUCGUUAUCAUCAAUGAAAAUUUUAUCAUCGGCGAUAUUCGUCGCUGGGUAAAGUUGUGCCCAUAUUUUACUACAUUUUCUUUUUUCAUCCAAACGCGUUUGAAUAUUGGACUUCGAUUAACGCCACGACAAAUUAUCGAGUUAUUUUUUUUUUUUUUUGUACGUACGUAUAUCUUUACCUGUAAGAUGGUAUAUUUUGUGUACGGAAUGAUCAGCGUGUCCGUAUAAUUAAUUAUCAUCAUAAACCUAUAAAUCGUUUUAGCAUUAUGUAGAAUACUGCACAUGUUACGUAAUUUAAAAUCCACACAGCGUACGUGCGAAGCACAAUUCCGACCGCAUGUUAUACAUAUUGGAACGUGAAAGAAAAGAAAAGGAAAGCAAAGAAAUAAUAUCACUGUGAAUCAUUGCAUGACGUUGCGGAUGGAAGGUGCACGGUAAGAUAUACAUAACCAGCUUUGUUUCAGCGCAUACACAUAUAUUUAUACGUAUAUGUAUACAACGACGAAGACGACGAUGUCGAAGGCGACGAUGUUACACAUAUGCAUACUAAACUGUAGCCAAUUUAAUUUAACGCGACUGAAACGUCAUGUGGAGAAUUAUUUAUUUCCAGAUAAGGCGUGUUUUCAUUUUUCUUUAGAGACAAUAAUAUUCAUUUUACCCCACCUUUAAUACUGCUGGACAAUUCUGAUUUAUUGUGCAUUUAUCACACUUUUUAAAUAUACUAACCAGAUAAAUAGUUGAAAAUCUAUUUCGUUUAUUGUAUGCUGUACAGAGAAAAAGAGAGAGAGAGAGAGUGAGAGAGAGAGAGAGAUGAGAAGGCAGGAAAAAUAUACUGAAAAAUAAUUGUCAUGCCGCAGCUCUGAAAAUAGCGGUUUUCUCUUGGCGGAGAGGAGUUCCGAAGAAGGAGAGGAGCUUCCUUAUCUUGUACUGACUUCUUAACCUCUCGCCUGUGAUAAUAUGGAAAUAACGCCACCAACAGAGAAGCGGCGAACCGUGAUUAUAAUAUACCGUCAGCUUCUUCUCUUCGUUGCCGUACUUCGACAAUUUCGCCGAUACGUCCACGCGUAUAAUAAUAAUAAUAAUGAUAACAACAAGAAUAAUAAUACCACAGGGAUAAUGUAAAUUUAUGACAUACGUGCAUUGUGCGCUAUUAUGCGUAUUACAUAGGCAUGCCGACGCAUUGCACGGGGUGGACAAAAGAGACUAGCCAGCUAGCUGCAACCUAUAAGACGUAUUGAAAUAGGCGCGUUGCCCCUUUUCUCUUCUUUCAAAUUUAACCCUUUGAGUCACACAUUAUUGUGCAGAGUCAACGUUUAUAACAAGAUGGUAUUCCACGGUAUUUCGGCUCGCUGAUUACGAAUCUGAAAUCAUAUUUUGACAAUUCGAGGCAGUGGAUGCAUUAUGGUGGAAGGAAAUUUCAAAUUUGAUCGAAUACGGUCAAAAAACUCUAUGCAGGAAGUUUCGGGUUCGAAAUCCGAUUUCAGAUUCAUAAUCAGCGAGCCCCAAAACUUAAAACUUAUGUAAAACAUGUGUAUGCGUAGAGGGUCAACUUUCUCAAGAAUGAAUUAUUCCUUCAAUUUCCACGAUUUUUUUAAAUCAAUUUGAUUCAAACAAUAAUAAUUUACAUUAUAUCGCAAUAAUUAUUCUCGAGUAUUGAAAACCUGGUACACUAUCAGAAAUAGGAAAAACCGCUGAGAAAUAUGCUGAAAAGUUCUCUAAAUAUGAAAAAAAAACAACAAAAAAAAGAAUAAAAAUGCAUAUAAAAUAGGUGGUAAGGAUACUUACCACUAUGACUCAAAGGGUUGAACCUACACAGAGGAAUCGUCGCAUCGGGUGGCUACAUGAUUCAAACGAUUGCAGAGUCAACGUUCCGUAACGUAAUGAGGCGGUCUAAACGAUGCAGCAUUGUGCUAUUUGUAACGAUAAUAGGCAGUACGUACCUUAUAUGCAGCCAAAGCGGAUUAGUAUCACAUAUCGCGGGAAAAUCCACGUAUAUUCCGACGCGAGUUAACGUUCCGUAUACGUAUAAUAAGACUAAUAAGACCCGUACUUUGUACCGGGAGAGAGAAAGAGAGAGAGAGAGAAAGAGAGAGUAACGCUCGACGUUGUUUAUCAUCGGUUUAUAGCAUAUUACAAGAGAAGAAGACGAGAAGACUGCAGCAGACGUCGAGACUGUAAUAAGUUGGCAUAUGGCGCGUGUGUAGAGGGAACGGGAAUUAACGUUAAUUCCCAUUAAUAUACGCGCGGUAGCUUUUGCCAUUAGCACUUUGCAGAGCCGUUUCUCUUACGCUUUCGUUCCCGGUGCCGUUCCCGAUGCGCGGUCUCAACGUUUAAGGGUGAAAAGUGAAACGUGUCGCGACGCAUGAGGGCCGAUUUAACCGGACGACCCGAGAGGAGGAACAACUUUUUCGACAAGCAGAGCCUCGCUCGAGUUUCGGCUUGCGUUAUACCCUAAUUGACCGUUUAAAUUCACGCUUCUUAGAAAAGUCUGCGACGACGCCGCGCCCACGCCUGCAUACGUGUACACAUGAUAAUAAUUUACGAAUCGUAUGUAACGGGGGGGGUUAACAACUCGACGAUUCCAUCACCCUCGUAUUCCCCGAUUUUUAAGUUGAAAAUUAAUUAUUUGACGAAUUAUUUUCGAGCGUCGUUAAACAUAAUUAUUCCACGAAUACUGUUCGAUGCUAUCGCGCGAUGAUCAAGUGCGGUGAAACACUAAACAGAACCGUGCUGGGAACCGUAAAAAGUCAAAGAUUCAACUGUUGGCGGCUAGGCUCAGACUCGCGUAUUAAUUAACAUCUCCUUUCGGCUGUAAGAUCAAAGCAUCGGGUCGAGCUCCGGAUUACAACGACGUUCGAAAAAUCGUAUCCCGGAUUGCGUGAUGAAAUACACGUACGUGUGUAUAAUGCAGCUUGUUUUACGUGUAAUUAAUACAAUGCACCGGAGGGGGAGGUAGAGAAGCGUGCCGAAGUGAAACUCGACGCCGAAGACUAAAGCAUGAGCAGACGGUACGUAAGUGUAAGGAUAAAAUACGGUACGCGUCAUCGGUGCAUCGCAUCUCGGAUAUCUCCGUCUCCAAUUACCUUCCAAGAUAGCAAAGCCGGCGUUUUAACGUGACCGCGGUAAUGAAUAUCGAUAAAAUUCUUGCAUAGCCGUGAAAGCUCGACGAGUACAGUAUUUGGACAUUUUUUGGCCCACGAUGGACGCUCGAACACGUAGCUUCGUAAUACGCAUCGUGCAAACACACGUGGGUUAAAAAAACGCCGAGACAGUCGCCGAGUCGGCGGGUCGAGUUCGCUUCUUCCCGGAGUGAGUGAUUCAUCGUAGCACGGCUCUAAGGGAGUUUCACGUAUUGAAUGAAACCCUCUGUGAACGCCAAGCCCAUACAAUCCGCCUGCGCCUGCACGGCCUCCAGCCAGCUUCUUCGUAAGUCACGGGUUAAGGAUUGAACGCCUCUAUACUCUAUACAUCUUACUUCCAGCUUACGCCGCUUCUACACAUACACCGCGAGAACGGGGUGUCGUGGUACGUGAUGGAAUCAUGGCUAAUUGGGGAGAUUUAAAUUGUUCCCAUCUUUCACUUUUCAUUGAUAAAAAGAUCGGAGCUGGCUGAUGAACCGUUCGCGUUUCGCGACGCGCAGGGUAUACAAUCGGGUAUAAUAGUCGAUGAUUAGUAUUUACGUUUCAAGCUGAUCGGCAAAUUUUAUUCCAAUUCACCGCGUUCCAGGCUUUUUCGCGCCUACUUCCGGCACUGCGUUUCUUCAUUGGAUGUCAAACGCUGCGUGUAAGCAUGUAAUAUCCAGGCGAGGAGGCACGGAGGAACGGUACGAAGAAUUACGCGAACGGAGCUGGGCCCAAAGCACAGUGGGCGGCUUUAAUGGGCUACCAAGGCCGGUUCAAUGAUGCUCUCGGUACCGUCCCAUCCAUUCGCGUUACACACAUCUACCGACUGUCUUUGUAUACACGCACACCGAACACAAAUUGUUGCGUGAUCUCAUAUCGCUGUGUCGUGUACAACGUUUGCUGUUGUACCUAGGUUUGAAGCACUGACACGAUAGAACGGACCCUGCGAGACCAACUGUACGUGCAGCAUCGGAAAAGCGAGAAAGGAAGAUUCUUUCGGAUAGAAAAAUGUUGAAUUUCGACGAGCUAAAGGCCGUGAAGAAUACGUGUACCAUGAAAAACACACAUGCGAAUCUUUGAACGCGGUCAAUUUGUAACAUCAAACUAUGGGCAAUUAUCCAAUGUACGAAGACCGUUUAUAAUCAGAGACGAGAUAAGCUGUGAGGCGAGAUCUGAUUAACCAGGCGGCAUAUUACCACGCACUGCAAACAUACAUCGAAUCCUGUCCUGUUCCUAAGUACUAGUGCCGCAGGAGUGAAUAGCUUGGGCUAAGUAUUACCAUGUCUCCUGCUGCUCAAGUGCUUAUCAAUGGGUCGGGACGCACAGCGCGCUGAACCACGUGCUUUUUCACGCGAGCCGAAGUCGCGAAUAAUCGCGUCGCUGAAAGGUUGGAAUUUGUGUAAACUGACUGAGUGACGAUUGGUUGUUGUAAUAAAUUGGGUUCUUCUUUCGAUCGAAUCGUUGAUGUAUCGACGAAGAAAGUGGAAAAAAAAAUAAUGGUCGUUUGGAGGAGCUGGGAUUUGAACCCAGGACUUUCAGCAUGCGAAGCAGACACUCUACCACUGAGUUACACCCCCGGUACAUACGGAGUUAGAAUUAUUUGUUUAUCACAAACUUACGCCAUCAGCGCUGAUACAGGUUCUAAUCUCUGGUUCGCAAAGAUUGUUGGUAAAUAAAUUGAACGAGAAAUGUAUGGUAAUUAUCCGAUUUCGAAGGUAUAAUGCAGACGUUUUUGUUUCUUUGUUUUUUCACAUAUUUAUUUAAUUUUUCAUGAUAAACUACUUUUAUUUUAUAAAAAUUUUAACAUCUAUAUAUUUAUGUGCACGUUCAGUACGUAAAAUUAUUGUUUUCGCGGAGUGCCCGAUAAAUUUUAUUCGGUAUUAUUAUUACUAUUAUUAUUGUUGUUGCUGUUGUUGUUAUCAUUAUUACUACUACCUAGAUAAUACGAGUAUAUUGAAAAUGAAAAAUUACUAUAUCAUUAUGUCAUGUUCGAAAUGUGAAUAUCAGGUACUAUAUUAUGAACUGUUCUCUCCUAAAGUGUAGACAGACUUGAUUGAGAUCGCCACGCAUGCAACUAUUGGUCAGUUUAAUUCAUUCGAAAGAUCGAGUGCGACGGUGGUUUGUAUUUUUCUUUGUUUUAAGCUGGAUUUUUCAACCAUAUGUUGUUUAUAACGGAAGAAUAAGGUAAACUGAUCAUACGUAAUGCUCUAGCAUAGCUAAGUGUACUUAACGGCACAAGUUGUAUAAAUACAGAUUAUAUCAUAAUUUCUGAGGUAAUAGAAGACUAUAU